This 502-nucleotide ribosomal RNA is filed under the name uncultured bacterium. RNAcentral describes it as "partial 16S ribosomal RNA". It matches the Rfam family "Bacterial small subunit ribosomal RNA", at positions 899 to 1397 of the family's 1533-position model. The record is from RNAcentral.
ACUCAAAGGAAUUGACGGGGGCCCGCACAAGCGGUGGAGUAUGUGGUUUAAUUCGAAGCAACGCGCAGAACCUUACCAGCUCUUGACAUGUUAGGUAUGGGUAUCAGAGAUGAUAUCCUUCAGUUCGGCUGGCCUAAACACAGGUGCUGCAUGGCUGUCGUCAGCUCGUGUCGUGAGAUGUUGGGUUAAGUCCCGCAACGAGCGCAACCCUCACCGUUAGUUGCCAUCGGGUAAAGCUGGGCACUCUAGCGGAACUGCCGGUGAUAAACCGGAGGAAGGUGGGGAUGACGUCAAGUCCUCAUGGCCCUUAUGGGCUGGGCUACACACGUACUACAAUGGUGGUGACAGAGGGCAGCGAAGGAGCAAUCCGGAGCGAAUCCUUAAAAGCCACCUCAGUUCGGAUUGUCCUCUGCAACUCGAGGGCAUGAAGUCGGAAUCGCUAGUAAUCGCGGAUCAGCAUGCCGCGGUGAAUACGUUCACGGGCCUUGUACACACCGCCCGU